The submitters of this non-coding RNA (142 nucleotides) gave its source as unclassified sequences. The record is from Rfam.
UUCGCAGUGAGUUGUUUCUGCACCUACCUUUACUAGAAAGCAGCUAACUACCCUUUCUGAUAAAAAGGAAACAAGAGAGUUUUUAGAACGACACGUUCUACCGCUUUGUAAGUAGAUAAGUAUACAAGCGUGGGUGGUAAUC